AGUGAACGCUGGCGGCAGGCCCAACACAUGCAAGUCGAACGGCAGCACAGUAAGAGCUUGCUCUUACGGGUGGCGAGUGGCGGACGGGUGAGGCAUACAUCGGAAUCUACUUUUUCGUGGGGGAUAACGUAGGGAAACUUACGCUAAUACCGCAUACGACCUACGGGUGAAAGCAGGGGAUAUUCGGACCUUUCGUGUUUGUAUUAGCCGAUGUCGGAUUAGCUAGUUGGGGUGGUAAAGGCACACCAAGGCGACGAUCCGUAGCUGGUCUGAGAGGAUGAUCGGCCACACUGGAACUGAGACACGGUCCAGACUCCUACGGGAGGCAGCAGUGGGGAAUAUUGGACAAUGGGCGCAAGCCUGAUCCAGCCAUACCGCGUGAGUGAAGAAGGCCUUCGGGUUGUAAAGCCCUUUUGUUGGGAAAGAAAAGCAGCAGGUUAAAACCCCGCUGUUCUGACGGUACCCAAAGAAUAAGCACCGGCUAACUUCGUG
This 492-nucleotide ribosomal RNA is filed under the name uncultured bacterium. RNAcentral's name for it is "partial 16S ribosomal RNA". It matches the Rfam family "Bacterial small subunit ribosomal RNA", at positions 29 to 507 of the family's 1533-position model. The record is from RNAcentral.